GAUGAACGCUGGCGGCGUGCCUAAUACAUGCAAGUCGAGCGAACGGACGAGAAGCUUGCUUCUCUGAUGUUAGCGGCGGACGGGUGAGUAACACGUGGAUAACCUACCUAUAAGACUGGGAUAACUUCGGGAAACCGGAGCUAAUACCGGAUAAUAUUUUGAACCGCAUGGUUCAAAAGUGAAAGACGGUCUCGCUGUCACUUAUAGAUGGAUCCGCGCUGCAUUAGCUAGUUGGUAAGGUAACGGCUUACCAAGGCAACGAUGCAUAGCCGACCUGAGAGGGUGAUCGGCCACACGGGAACUGGAACACGGUCCAGACUACUACGGGAGGCAGCAGUAGGGAAUAUUCCGCAAUGGGCGAAAGCCUGACGGAGGAACGGCGCGUGGGUGAAGAAGGGCUUCGGAUCGUAAAACUCUGUUAUUAGGGAAGAACAUAUGUGUAAGUAACUGUGCACAUCUUGACGGUACCUAAUCAGAAAGCAACGGCUAACUACGUG
RNAcentral lists this ribosomal RNA (497 nucleotides) under uncultured bacterium. RNAcentral describes it as "partial 16S ribosomal RNA". It matches the Rfam family "Bacterial small subunit ribosomal RNA", at positions 28 to 507 of the family's 1533-position model. The record is from RNAcentral.